GGGUUGUGAGGUUAAGCGACUAAGCGUACACGGUGGAUGCCCUGGCAGUCAGAGGCGAUGAAGGACGUGCUAAUCUGCGAUAAGCGUCGGUAAGGUGAUAUGAACCGUUAUAACCGGCGAUUUCCGAAUGGGGAAACCCAGUGUGUUUCGACACACUAUCAUUAACUGAAUCCAUAGGUUAAUGAGGCGAACCGGGGGAACUGAAACAUCUAAGUACCCCGAGGAAAAGAAAUCAACCGAGAUUCCCCCAGUAGCGGCGAGCGAACGGGGAGCAGCCCAGAGCCUGAAUCAGUGUGUGUGUUAGUGGAAGCGUCUGGAAAGGCGCGCGAUACAGGGUGACAGCCCCGUACACAAAAAUGCACAUGCUGUGAGCUCGAUGAGUAGGGCGGGACACGUGGUAUCCUGUCUGAAUAUGGGGGGACCAUCCUCCAAGGCUAAAUACUCCUGACUGACCGAUAGUGAACCAGUACCGUGAGGGAAAGGCGAAAAGAACCCCGGCGAGGGGAGUGAAAAAGAACCUGAAACCGUGUACGUACAAGCAGUGGGAGCACGCUUCGGCGUGUGACUGCGUACCUUUUGUAUAAUGGGUCAGCGACUUAUAUUCUGUAGCAAGGUUAACCGAAUAGGGGAGCCGAAGGGAAACCGAGUCUUAACUGGGCGUUAAGUUGCAGGGUAUAGACCCGAAACCCGGUGAUCUAGCCAUGGGCAGGUUGAAGGUUGGGUAACACUAACUGGAGGACCGAACCGACUAAUGUUGAAAAAUUAGCGGAUGACUUGUGGCUGGGGGUGAAAGGCCAAUCAAACCGGGAGAUAGCUGGUUCUCCCCGAAAGCUAUUUAGGUAGCGCCUCGUGAAUUCAUCUCCGGGGGUAGAGCACUGUUUCGGCAAGGGGGUCAUCCCGACUUACCAACCCGAUGCAAACUGCGAAUACCGGAGAAUGUUAUCACGGGAGACACACGGCGGGUGCUAACGUCCGUCGUGAAGAGGGAAACAACCCAGACCGCCAGCUAAGGUCCCAAAGUCAUGGUUAAGUGGGAAACGAUGUGGGAAGGCCCAGACAGCCAGGAUGUUGGCUUAGAAGCAGCCAUCAUUUAAAGAAAGCGUAAUAGCUCACUGGUCGAGUCGGCCUGCGCGGAAGAUGUAACGGGGCUAAACCAUGCACCGAAGCUGCGGCAGCGACGCUGAUGCGUUGUUGGGUAGGGGAGCGUUCUGUAAGCCUGCGAAGGUGUGCUGUGAGGCAUGCUGGAGGUAUCAGAAGUGCGAAUGCUGACAUAAGUAACGAUAAAGCGGGUGAAAAGCCCGUUCGCCGGAAGACCAAGGGUUCCUGUCCAACGUUAAUCGGGGCAGGGUGAGUCGACCCCUAAGGCGAGGCCGAAAGGCGUAGUCGAUGGGAAACAGGUUAAUAUUCCUGUACUUGGUGUUACUGCGAAGGGGGGACGGAGAAGGCUAUGUUGGCCGGGCGACGGUUGUCCCGGUUUAAGCGUGUAGGCUGGUUUUCCAGGCAAAUCCGGAAAAUCAAGGCUGAGGCGUGAUGACGAGGCACUACGGUGCUGAAGCAACAAAUGCCCUGCUUCCAGGAAAAGCCUCUAAGCAUCAGGUAACAUCAAAUCGUACCCCAAACCGACACAGGUGGUCAGGUAGAGAAUACCAAGGCGCUUGAGAGAACUCGGGUGAAGGAACUAGGCAAAAUGGUGCCGUAACUUCGGGAGAAGGCACGCUGAUAUGUAGGUGAAGCGACUUGCUCGUGGAGCUGAAAUCAGUCGAAGAUACCAGCUGGCUGCAACUGUUUAUUAAAAACACAGCACUGUGCAAACACGAAAGUGGACGUAUACGGUGUGACGCCUGCCCGGUGCCGGAAGGUUAAUUGAUGGGGUCAGCGCAAGCGAAGCUCUUGAUCGAAGCCCCGGUAAACGGCGGCCGUAACUAUAACGGUCCUAAGGUAGCGAAAUUCCUUGUCGGGUAAGUUCCGACCUGCACGAAUGGCGUAAUGAUGGCCAGGCUGUCUCCACCCGAGACUCAGUGAAAUUGAACUCGCUGUGAAGAUGCAGUGUACCCGCGGCAAGACGGAAAGACCCCGUGAACCUUUACUAUAGCUUGACACUGAACAUUGAGCCUUGAUGUGUAGGAUAGGUGGGAGGCUUAGAAGUGUGGACGCCAGUCUGCAUGGAGCCGACCUUGAAAUACCACCCUUUAAUGUUUGAUGUUCUAACGUUGACCCGUAAUCCGGGUUGCGGACAGUGUCUGGUGGGUAGUUUGACUGGGGCGGUCUCCUCCUAAAGAGUAACGGAGGAGCACGAAGGUUGGCUAAUCCUGGUCGGACAUCAGGAGGUUAGUGCAAUGGCAUAAGCCAGCUUGACUGCGAGCGUGACGGCGCGAGCAGGUGCGAAAGCAGGUCAUAGUGAUCCGGUGGUUCUGAAUGGAAGGGCCAUCGCUCAACGGAUAAAAGGUACUCCGGGGAUAACAGGCUGAUACCGCCCAAGAGUUCAUAUCGACGGCGGUGUUUGGCACCUCGAUGUCGGCUCAUCACAUCCUGGGGCUGAAGUAGGUCCCAAGGGUAUGGCUGUUCGCCAUUUAAAGUGGUACGCGAGCUGGGUUUAGAACGUCGUGAGACAGUUCGGUCCCUAUCUGCCGUGGGCGCUGGAGAACUGAGGGGGGCUGCUCCUAGUACGAGAGGACCGGAGUGGACGCAUCACUGGUGUUCGGGUUGUCAUGCCAAUGGCACUGCCCGGUAGCUAAAUGCGGAAGAGAUAAGUGCUGAAAGCAUCUAAGCACGAAACUUGCCCCGAGAUGAGUUCUCCCUGACUCCUUGAGAGUCCUGAAGGAACGUUGAAGACGACGACGUUGAUAGGCCGGGUGUGUAAGCGCAGCGAUGCGUUGAGCUAACCGGUACUAAUGAACCGUGAGG
RNAcentral lists this ribosomal RNA (2904 nucleotides) under Escherichia coli. RNAcentral describes it as "partial 23S ribosomal RNA". It matches the Rfam family "Bacterial large subunit ribosomal RNA". The record is from RNAcentral. Lineage: Bacteria; Pseudomonadati; Pseudomonadota; Gammaproteobacteria; Enterobacterales; Enterobacteriaceae.